GUCUACGGCCAUGCCACCCUGAACAAGCCAGAUGUCUGAUCUCAGAAGCCAAGCAGGGUCGGGCCUGGUUAGUACUUGAAUGGGAGACCACCUAGGAAGACCAGGUGCUGUAAGCA
RNAcentral lists this ribosomal RNA (116 nucleotides) under Pteropus alecto (black flying fox). Lineage: Eukaryota; Metazoa; Chordata; Mammalia; Chiroptera; Pteropodidae. The record is from RNAcentral.